GUAAGCAUAAUUUAAUAAAAAUACUAGAUUGUGGUUCUAGAGCUAGAGGUUAAACUCCUCUUGCCUACC
Molecule: transfer RNA, 69 nt
Filed under: Pseudogobius fulvicaudus
Lineage: Eukaryota; Metazoa; Chordata; Actinopteri; Gobiiformes; Gobiidae
Description: tRNA-His
Rfam family: tRNA
About the family: Transfer RNA (tRNA) molecules are approximately 80 nucleotides in length. Their secondary structure includes four short double-helical elements and three loops (D, anti-codon, and T loops).
Source: RNAcentral